Molecule: long non-coding RNA, 218 nt
Filed under: Ananas comosus (pineapple)
Lineage: Eukaryota; Viridiplantae; Streptophyta; Magnoliopsida; Poales; Bromeliaceae
Description: long non-coding RNA (ACOM_LNC039598)
Source: RNAcentral
AAGUAUCAAAGUCUUUUUGUUUUUUGUUUUUUUUUUAAGAGAUAGGUAGCAUGCUACGCCCUUCGUUUAUUUCAUUUAGAAAUAAACUUAGCUGAAAAUGUGAAUCAACUAGAAUUCGAAUUCGAGACCUCAGGUACCAACAACCAAGCCCUUUGCCACUUGCGCUAGGGACGGUCAGUGUCUUUUUGUCUUUUCGUUAUCUGGUUUCCAAUCUUUUC